Small nuclear RNA from Fukomys damarensis (Damara mole-rat), 106 nucleotides. The record is from Ensembl. Lineage: Eukaryota; Metazoa; Chordata; Mammalia; Rodentia; Bathyergidae.
GUGCUCACUUUAGCAGCAUAUGUACUAAAAUUGGAAAGAUGCAAGAAGGUUAGCAUGGCACCUGUGCAAAGAAGAUGCACAAAUUCGUGAAGCUGCCCAUAUUCUU